RNAcentral lists this unclassified non-coding RNA (21 nucleotides) under Dictyostelium discoideum. The record is from RNAcentral. Lineage: Eukaryota; Evosea; Eumycetozoa; Dictyosteliales; Dictyosteliaceae.
UAGAUUCUUGAUUCCUUCCAU